UACGUAGGGUGCAAGCGUUAAUCGGAAUUACUGGGCGUAAAGCGUGUGCAGGCGGUUGUGCAAGACAGAUGUGAAAUCCCCGGGCUUAACCUGGGAACUGCAUUUGUGACUGCACAGCUAGAGUACGGCAGAGGGGGAUGGAAUUCCGCGUGUAGCAGUGAAAUGCGUAGAUAUGCGGAGGAACACCGAUGGCGAAGGCAGUCCCCUGGGCCUGUACUGACGCUCAUGCACGAAAGCGUGGGGAGCAAACAGG
This 253-nucleotide ribosomal RNA is filed under the name uncultured bacterium. RNAcentral's name for it is "partial 16S ribosomal RNA". It matches the Rfam family "Bacterial small subunit ribosomal RNA", at positions 524 to 776 of the family's 1533-position model. The record is from RNAcentral.